Molecule: long non-coding RNA, 284 nt
Filed under: Prunus persica (peach)
Lineage: Eukaryota; Viridiplantae; Streptophyta; Magnoliopsida; Rosales; Rosaceae
Description: long non-coding RNA (PPER_LNC003715)
Source: RNAcentral
GCCUUACAAACCUCCGUCACCGACCACCCCAAGCCGCAAGACCGGAGCCAAAACGACCGGCCAAGCCUCGCCGUCAGCCUCAGCCCACCUCGACACCAGCCGCCGCUGUGAUCCCUCCGGAAAACCAUGAAAACCGCCAGUUUUCGUUCGAAACUUCAUGGCCGCCGAUUUCCGUCCUCCGGCCACCAAAUCGGACGAUCAAGGUAUGGAUCCUUACCUAUUUUUCACGACUUAGCUGCUGGUUGGGUAAGAUUGGAACGAUUUCUAGCCUAGAUAGAUCAAAC